RNAcentral lists this ribosomal RNA (290 nucleotides) under uncultured bacterium. RNAcentral's name for it is "partial 16S ribosomal RNA". It matches the Rfam family "Bacterial small subunit ribosomal RNA", at positions 30 to 325 of the family's 1533-position model. The record is from RNAcentral.
CCUGAACGCUGGCGGCGUGGCUAAGACAUGCAAGUCGAACGGAUGUAGCAAUACAUCAGUGGCGGACGGGUGAGUAAUGUAUCGCUAAUGUGCCCUAGAGCCUGGGAUAGCCAUCCGAAAGGGUGGGUAAUACCAGAUGAAAUAACUUUGUCGCAUGGCAGAGUUCUCAAAGACAGCAAUGCACUCCUGGAGCAGGCGAUAUCGAUCAGCUAGUUGGUGAGGUAACGGCUCACCAAGGCGACGACGCGUAGCCGGGCUGAGAGGUUGACCGGCCACAUUGGGACUGAGAC